UUAACAUCCCUGUAGCUUGAAAUCUUCUGUCUCCACUAUACAGACACAGCAAGAGCAACAGCAGUGCAAGCUUCCCCGCUCGACCCUACCAAUGAAUCUAAAUCCUGGCUUCGGAUGGAUCACUUCUAGGGGUAAGAACAUAAUUCAGUCUCCACGGCCUGGACUCUUGUACGACU
This 176-nucleotide small RNA is filed under the name Gopherus agassizii (Agassiz's desert tortoise). RNAcentral's name for it is "TUC338 (ENSGAGG00000012869.1)". The record is from RNAcentral. Lineage: Eukaryota; Metazoa; Chordata; Testudines; Testudinidae.